RNAcentral lists this ribosomal RNA (630 nucleotides) under uncultured bacterium. Its description in RNAcentral is "bacterial SSU rRNA". It matches the Rfam family "Bacterial small subunit ribosomal RNA", at positions 202 to 829 of the family's 1533-position model. The record is from RNAcentral.
UAAAGGAAGCGAUUCCGGCUACGGAUGGUCAUGCGUCGCAUUAGCUAGUUGGCGGGGUAACGGCCCACCAAGGCGACGAUGCGUAGGGGUUCUGAGAGGAAGGUCCCCCACACUGGUACUGAGACACGGACCAGACUCCUACGGGAGGCAGCAGUGAGGAAUAUUGGUCGAUGGCCGCAGGGCUGAACCAGCCAAGUCGCGUGAGGGAUGACGGUCCUAUGGAUUGUAAACCUCUUUUGUCAGGGAGCAAAGGACGCCACGUGUGGCGUUUUGCGAGUACCUGAAGAAAAAGCAUCGGCUAACUCCGUGCCAGCAGCCGCGGUAAUACGGAGGAUGCGAGCGUUAUCCGGAUUUAUUGGGUUUAAAGGGUGCGCAGGCGGAAUGUCAAGUCAGCGGUAAAAUUUCGGGGCUCAACCCCGUCGUGCCGUUGAAACUGGCGUUCUUGAGUGAGCGAGAAGUAUGCGGAAUGCGUGGUGUAGCGGUGAAAUGCAUAGAUAUCACGCAGAACUCCGAUUGCGAGGGCAGCAUACCGGCGCUCAACUGACGCUCAUGCACGAAAGCGUGGGUAUCGAACAGGAUUAGAUACCCUGGUAGUCCACGCAGUAAACGAUGAAUACUAACUGUCCGGGC